RNAcentral lists this long non-coding RNA (300 nucleotides) under Homo sapiens (human). RNAcentral's name for it is "HSALNT0152767". The record is from RNAcentral. Lineage: Eukaryota; Metazoa; Chordata; Mammalia; Primates; Hominidae.
CAGAUACUCAGGAGGCUGAGGCAGGAGGAUUGCUUGAGCCCGGGAGGUUGAGGUUGCAGUGAGUUUAAAUCAUGCCACUGUACUCCAGCCUGGGUGACACAGCAAGACCCUGUCUCAAAAAAGUUUUUCUAGGCCAGGAUCUAUAGUCUUCACCAGACUACCAAGUAAAUCCGUAGCACACAUGAUUUUAGGAACUCAUAGCUCUCUGUGGACCCAGGUGGCAUGCACAUUUGAGUAAGAUUUGCGUUUGAUUGUCCUCUCCUACUUUCUUGGUCUUAUUUUCAUUUUAGUGGUUUUGAG